GUGCUUGCUAUGGCAGCACAUAUACUAAAAUUGGAACCAUACAGAGAAGAUUAGCAUGGCCCCUGCAAAAAGAAAAAAAAAAACACCGGUUAUUACAGCUUGGUCUU
This 107-nucleotide small nuclear RNA is filed under the name Pan paniscus (pygmy chimpanzee). The record is from RNAcentral. Lineage: Eukaryota; Metazoa; Chordata; Mammalia; Primates; Hominidae.